GGGAACGUGCCUUCUGGUUCGGAAUAACCCUGGGAAACUAGGGCUAAUACCGGAUACGCCCUUAUGGGGAAAGGUUUACUGCCGGAAGAUCGGCCCGCGUCUGAUUAGCUAGUUGGUGGGGUAACGGCCUACCAAGGCGACGAUCAGUAGCUGGUCUGAGAGGAUGAUCAGCCACACUGGGACUGAGACACGGCCCAGACUCCUACGGGAGGCAGCAGUGGGGAAUAUUGGACAAUGGGCGCAAGCCUGAUCCAGCCAUGCCGCGUGAGUGAUGAAGGCCUUAGGGUUGUAAAGCUCUUUUAUCCGGGACGAUAAUGACGGUACCGGAGGAAUAAGCCCCGGCUAACUUCGUGCCAGCAGCCGCGGUAAUACGAAGGGGGCUAGCGUUGCUCGGAAUCACUGGGCGUAAAGGGCGCGUAGGCGGCGUUUUAAGUCGGGGGUGAAAGCCUGUGGCUCAACCACAGAAUGGCCUUCGAUACUGGGACGCUUGAGUAUGGUAGAGGUUGGUGGAACUGCGGGU
This 520-nucleotide ribosomal RNA is filed under the name uncultured bacterium. RNAcentral describes it as "bacterial SSU rRNA". It matches the Rfam family "Bacterial small subunit ribosomal RNA", at positions 120 to 674 of the family's 1533-position model. The record is from RNAcentral.